This 492-nucleotide ribosomal RNA is filed under the name uncultured bacterium. RNAcentral's name for it is "partial 16S ribosomal RNA". It matches the Rfam family "Bacterial small subunit ribosomal RNA", at positions 29 to 507 of the family's 1533-position model. The record is from RNAcentral.
AGUGAACGCUGGCGGUAGGCCUAACACAUGCAAGUCGAACGGCAGCACAGUAAGAGCUUGCUCUUACGGGUGGCGAGUGGCGGACGGGUGAGGAAUACAUCGGAAUCUACUUUUUCGUGGGGGAUAACGUAGGGAAACUUACGCUAAUACCGCAUACGACCUACGGGUGAAAGCAGGGGAUCUUCGGACCUUUCGCGAUUGAAUGAGCCGAUGUCGGAUUAGCUAGUUGGCGGGGUAAAGGCCCACCAAGGCGACGAUCCGUAGCUGGUCUGAGAGGAUGAUCAGCCACACUGGAACUGAGACACGGUCCAGACUACUACGGGAGGCAGCAGUGGGGAAUAUUGGACAAUGGGCGCAAGCCUGAUCCAGCCAUACCGCGUGGGUGAAGAAGGCCUUCGGGUUGUAAAGCCCUUUUGUUGGGAAAGAAAAGCAGCAGGUUAAUACCCCGCUGUUCUGACGGUACCCAAAGAAUAAGCACCGGCUAACUUCGUG